RNAcentral lists this ribosomal RNA (469 nucleotides) under uncultured Glomus. Its description in RNAcentral is "SSU rRNA". It matches the Rfam family "Eukaryotic small subunit ribosomal RNA", at positions 569 to 1043 of the family's 1831-position model. Lineage: Eukaryota; Fungi; Glomeromycota; Glomeromycetes; Glomerales; Glomeraceae. The record is from RNAcentral.
AGCAGCCGCGGUAAUUCCAGCUCCAAUAGCGUAUAUUAAAGUUGUUGCAGUUAAAAAGCUCGUAGUUGAAUUUCGGGAUUAGUACGUUGGUCGUGCCUUCGGUACGUACUGGUGUUACUGAUUCCUACCUUCUGACGAACCAUCAUGUCAUUAAUUUGGUGUGGCGGGGAAUCAGGACUGUUACUUUGAAAAAAUUAGAGUGUUUAAAGCAGGCUCGCGCUUGAAUACAUUAGCAUGGAAUAAUGAAAUAGGACGUUGACCCUAUUUUGUUGGUUUCUAGGAUUGACGUAAUGAUUAAUAGGGAUAGUUGGGGGCAUUAGUAUUCAAUUGUCAGAGGUGAAAUUCUUGGAUUUAUUGAAGACUAACUACUGCGAAAGCAUUUGCCAAGGAUGUUUUCAUUAAUCAAGAACGAAAGUUAGGGGAUCGAAGACGAUCAGAUACCGUCGUAGUCUUAACCAUAAACUAUGCC